This is a small nuclear RNA of Saimiri boliviensis boliviensis (Bolivian squirrel monkey), 104 nucleotides long. The record is from Ensembl. NCBI's taxonomy places the organism in Eukaryota, Metazoa, Chordata, Mammalia, Primates, Cebidae.
GUGUUUGCUUCAAUAGCACAUGUACUAAAAUUGGAAUAAUACAGAAAUUAGCAUGGCCCCUACAUAAGGAUGAUAUGAAAAUUCGUGAAAUGGUCCAUAUUUAA